Molecule: non-coding RNA, 49 nt
Organism: Schistosoma curassoni
Lineage: Eukaryota; Metazoa; Platyhelminthes; Trematoda; Strigeidida; Schistosomatidae
Source: Rfam
AUCCAGCCGACGAGUCUCGCAAUAGGACGAAACGUGCGUCAAAAUAGAU